UACGUAGGGCGCAAGCGUUGUCCGGAAUUAUUGGGCGUAAAGAGCUCGUAGGCGGUCUGUUACGUCCGCUGUGAAAACCCAGGGCUUAACCCUGGGCUUGCAGCCGAUACGGGCAGACUAGAGUGUGAGGGGAGACUGGAAUUCCUGGUGUAGCGGUGAAAUGCGCAGAUAUCAGGAGGAACACCGAUGGCGAAGGCAGGUCUCUGGGCCGACUACUGACGCUGAGGAGCGAAAGCGUGGGGAGCGAACAGGAUUAGAACCGUACCGU
This 268-nucleotide ribosomal RNA is filed under the name uncultured bacterium. RNAcentral's name for it is "partial 16S ribosomal RNA". It matches the Rfam family "Bacterial small subunit ribosomal RNA", at positions 524 to 789 of the family's 1533-position model. The record is from RNAcentral.